Molecule: ribosomal RNA, 254 nt
Filed under: uncultured bacterium
Lineage: Bacteria
Description: partial 16S ribosomal RNA
Rfam family: Bacterial small subunit ribosomal RNA
Source: RNAcentral
UACGGGGGGAGCAAGCGUUGUUCGGAUUUACUGGGCGUAAAGGGCGCGUAGGCGGCCACCGAAGGUCAGUUGUGAAAUCUCUGGGCUUAACCCAGAAAGGUCAACUGAUACUGCGGGGCUAGAGUGCAGAAGGGGCAACUGGAAUUCUCGGUGUAGCGGUGAAAUGCGCAGAUAUCAGGAAGAACACCAGUGGCGAAAGCAGCUCUCUGGGACGGUACUGACGCUGAGACGCGAAAGCGUGGGGAGCGAACAGG